GGAACAAUUUAAAUACUGUGGAAACACAAUCAGGAUGAUAUAUGAUUUAGCGAUUUCUACAUUAAGGGAUCAGAGGGGUUGGAAUAUGAGAUUCCGGAGGUCGAAGGAGCUAGGAUUAAAACCAAGAAUCACCCACCCAGCAAAACUAAGUGUAAUCAGUGAGAGGGGGAAAUUGACAUUCAUUGACAUAGAGGAAUUUAAUGUAUUCCUGAGAAAAAACAAGAGCUAAGUAGAAAGUUUGACUUUCAAAUACAAGACUCAAGAGAAGCACGAAAAGGAAUGCCGACCUAAAGAAGACAUAAGAGACAGGAAGAACUACGUCAUGAACUUAAGUUGUGUGGGCCAGAAGACCAGAAUCUCAUGAAGGGCUGUACCAAUGUAAAGAAACAACUCUUUCUUUGAUCAGUUAAUGAAUCUCAUUAGAAGUUUACGUGAUAAAGACAAUAGUUUCUUUAGUAUGGGGGAGAAUUUUCAUGACUGUGUAAAGAAGAAUGAGAUGUUGUUGAGGAAGUUCUCUAAUUCACAUCUGUUAUCUGUUUUAUAUGGGUACCUCCCUGUAUUGAUACAGUAUAUACAUUCCUUUUAUGCUUUAAGUUUCAUGAAAAGCUGUGGCCAGAAAUACUGAUUACCUGAUGAUGAACCUCUCUAAAAAGUUAGGUUAUUUAUUAUAUGAGAAACCCAGUAAAUCGUUGGGCCUGAUCCUUUCCAGCCCAUUAGGGCUCAGCAGAGCCUUGCCAGAUCUUGCAUUGUGAUUCCAUAGACUUCAAGGUUUUUUAAUUUUGGUCUCAGAUUAGAGGAAAUGUAGUUCCUUCCUGUUGUUGAAGAGGAUGUGAAUUUUGUUUUUUGAUUUUGUUUUUUUUUUUUUAAUCUCAUUUUGUGAAAUAUUCUGUUGGUAUUUUUAUUCCUAAAAAUCUUAAGUCUAUAAAUUGGAUAUUACUGUCAUUUUUAUUAUAUUACUAUAACACAACCAUGAACACCAAAUACCUCCAGUAAUUUGGGUUUCUUUUGUUUCUGUGAAAAUUGUUUUAUAUAAGUACAUGUAUGUUUUGGUAAGUUAAUUCCCAGAUAAUAAAUAUUGUUAUUUUAAGUGGUA
Molecule: long non-coding RNA, 1093 nt
Organism: Vombatus ursinus (common wombat)
Lineage: Eukaryota; Metazoa; Chordata; Mammalia; Diprotodontia; Vombatidae
Exons: 2
Source: RefSeq, a predicted model, not a curated record